AUACGGAGGGGGCUAGCGUUGUUCGGAAUUACGGGGCGUAAAGGGCGCGUAGGCGGAUUGUCAAGUCAGAGGUGAAAGCCCUGGGCUCAACCUGGGAAUUGCCUUUGAAACUGAUUGUCUAGAGUCCGGAAGAGGAUGGCGGAAUUCCCAGUGUAGAGGUGAAAUUCGUAGAUAUUGGGAAGAACACCGGUGGCGAAGGCGGCUUUCUGGGCUGUGCCUGACGCUGAGGCUCGAGAGCGUGGGGAGCAAACAGGAUUAGAUACCCCAGUAGUCC
This 274-nucleotide ribosomal RNA is filed under the name uncultured bacterium. RNAcentral describes it as "partial 16S ribosomal RNA". It matches the Rfam family "Bacterial small subunit ribosomal RNA", at positions 523 to 796 of the family's 1533-position model. The record is from RNAcentral.